AAGUCGUAACAAGGUUUCCGUAGGUGAACCUGCGGAAGGAUCAUUAUUGAAUACGAUUGGUACUGAUGCUGGCUCUUAACAGGGCAUGUGCUCGUGCCGUCUAUUUAUCUUCUCUUGUGCACAUUUUGUAGUCAGUGAAUUGGAAACUAUGCGUGCUUUCAUUAGUACGGUCUGGAGGCUGAUUAAACCCUGCUUCUGUUCCUCUGCGCACUCUUUACUGAGUUGCGGUCUGGGAGUUGUUAACCCUUCUCCUGCUUCACUGACUAUGUUUUCAUAUACCUUAUAAAGUCAUAGAAUGUCAUUUAACUUGAUUGCGCUCGUCGUAGUCGUUAAACCUAUACAACUUUCAGCAACGGAUCUCUUGGCUCUC
RNAcentral lists this unclassified non-coding RNA (370 nucleotides) under air metagenome. RNAcentral's name for it is "partial contains small subunit ribosomal RNA, internal transcribed spacer 1, and 5.8S ribosomal RNA". The stretch from base 1 to 46 matches the Rfam family "Eukaryotic small subunit ribosomal RNA", at positions 1786 to 1831 of the family's 1831-position model. The record is from RNAcentral.